Molecule: long non-coding RNA, 146 nt
Organism: Myotis davidii
Lineage: Eukaryota; Metazoa; Chordata; Mammalia; Chiroptera; Vespertilionidae
Exons: 3
Source: RefSeq, a predicted model, not a curated record
AUGGGCUGACACUCUAUCCACUGAGCCAAAGCAGCUAGGAGCAGCUUUACGUGGAAGACAGUUAAAUUGCCUGCAGAUCAGCUUUCAAGACUUGAAUUUAAGCUCUGUUGAGAGAAAGGGAGAGGAAGAGAGAGAUAGAAACACCA